GUUUUCCUGCUGCUCGAUUAACACAUGGCACAGUUUCUGAUCUAGUUCAGACGGCAAUACUCCCUUGCUCUGGUAUGAAUCAAACCUCUCUCCCACUGGCUCAUGCAAACUUUUGGCUGAAACCUCAGUCUGCAAAAGUAUUUUCGGGUGAGUAGCAAAAUUGUUGUAAUUCUAAGCAGAAGCAACAGAGUUUAUAAAAAGUCAGAGCAGAAAAAAUAUAUAUAUUUAUGUAUAUGUACUCAUUGCAGAGGUAUUUAUAUGUUUCCCAUCUUGCUUAUGCAAUUUUUCUCAUUCAUCAGCUACUAUGUUUCUUUACUCUAACCACACAAAUUGGCAUAUUCCGUCUUUAAGGUCUGUUCAAUGUCCACAGUUAUCAAAUUUCCCCAUGUAAAGUGAUGCUAUCACUGCUCAUCUUCAUUCCAUAUGUUUCAGUUCCUCUUGGUAUGGCUUAAUACCAGCAUGCAGAAGUUCCUAUUCAUAUUCGAAAAAAUAUCCAAAGUGCUCUACAUUAUGAAGGUUGCUGCAUGCACCGUUAGUUCUGUAGCACGAUUUACUUUGAAAAUGUUACGUCAGUUGGUCACAUGAACUAUCAGCUAGUAUUAGCAUCAAGCGGUCAAGCUAUGAACUAAGAUCCACAAAGAUAUUCCUUUCAACAAGUAAACCUACUAGCUACUCUCUCAUGCAUUUUACUCCUUGAUCACUCACACAUACAGUAAAACAGUUAGUAGUUAAACUUGGUCAGCUAUGGAAUUUCAUUGAUAAGAAUCAUUUGUUAAAGUGGUCUGAAAUUGCAUUUAAAAGAGAAUUGUUGGAUCUAGAGACAAAAUUAUCCCUUUGAGAGUUUAAUCAAAAUCUAAUUUUAGAUAACUCUUGUCUUAAAUAUUUAGUAAAGGUAGAGAUAUGGAUAAACCAGUAAAAAGGAAGCACCUUUAACCAGUAAGUAAUUGAAAUGAAGGAUGUAAAGGUAGUUGAAAAGUUAACCUCACUCAAUUUUUGCAGUUCUAACUCGAGCUCUGCCUCUAGUUGAUCCAUUUCCACAACCUCCAGCUCUGGUUCAGGCUCUUCGGUAAGAACACUACUGGCAUAUUCACCAUCAUCAAUUACUGGGAGGCUGCAGACUUUGGUCUCAUUAUGGUCUCUGGUC
RNAcentral lists this long non-coding RNA (1144 nucleotides) under Gossypium barbadense (sea-island cotton). Its description in RNAcentral is "long non-coding RNA (GBAR_LNC003305)". The record is from RNAcentral. Lineage: Eukaryota; Viridiplantae; Streptophyta; Magnoliopsida; Malvales; Malvaceae.